Molecule: long non-coding RNA, 207 nt
Filed under: Lathyrus oleraceus (garden pea)
Lineage: Eukaryota; Viridiplantae; Streptophyta; Magnoliopsida; Fabales; Fabaceae
Description: Pisum sativum (pea) long non-coding RNA (PSAT_LNC014075)
Source: RNAcentral
ACUUGGCGCCUUACAAUCUUCCCCUUUUUUUCUUAGUUAAUUUUUUUUUCCAUUUUUUUCUUGUUAAUUAGUAAUUCUAAACUUUUUUGUUAUCAAUAAAAACGAAUAGGUAAUAAUAAGAAAGGAAAUAUUUCAUUAAUUAAAACAGGAUAACAAAUAACUAUUCCACAUUUUCAAAAUUAUGACUCCACUCAAAUUCAAUAGUAU